Molecule: ribosomal RNA, 507 nt
Filed under: uncultured bacterium
Lineage: Bacteria
Description: partial 16S ribosomal RNA
Rfam family: Bacterial small subunit ribosomal RNA
Source: RNAcentral
GACGAACGCUGGCGGCGUGCCUAAUACAUGCAAGUCGAACGCAUUUUCUUUCACCGUAGCUUGCUACACCGAAAGAAAAUGAGUGGCGAACGGGUGAGUAACACGUGGGUAACCUGCCCAUCAGCGGGGGAUAACACUUGGAAACAGGUGCUAAUACCGCAUAAUUCCAUUUACUGCAUGGUAGAUGGUUGAAAGGCGCUUUUGCGUCACUGAUGGAUGGACCCGCGGUGCAUUAGCUAGUUGGUGGGGUAACGGCCUACCAAGGCUGCGAUGCAUAGCCGACCUGAGAGGGUGGUCGGCCACACUGGGACUGAGACACGGCCCAGACUCCUACGGGAGGCAGCAGUAGGGAAUCUUCGGCAAUGGACGCAAGUCUGACCGGGCAGCGCGGCGUGAGUGAAGAAGGUUCUCGGGUCGUAAAACUCUGUUGUUAGAAAAGAACAAGGAUGAGGGUGGAAAGUUCAUCCCUUGACGGUAUCUAACCAGAAAGCCACGGCUAACUACGUG